RNAcentral lists this ribosomal RNA (2052 nucleotides) under Triticum aestivum (bread wheat). RNAcentral's name for it is "partial small subunit ribosomal RNA". Lineage: Eukaryota; Viridiplantae; Streptophyta; Magnoliopsida; Poales; Poaceae. The record is from RNAcentral.
AUGACCACCACGCCCAGCUCACAAUUACAUUUCCAGCUGCUGCUGCCGCUAAUCCUACUAGUCAUCCUUGCGGCCAUGGCUGAAGGGCGGCGUCCAGGUUGCCCGGACAAGUGCGGCGACAUCAGCAUCCACUUCCCGUUUGGCAUCGGCACCGGCUGCUUCCGGGAUGGCUUUGAGGUCUUGUGCAACCACUCCUCCGGUACCCCCCGCCUCUUCUUUUCCAACAACAUAAUACGCAAGGGCAAUGAUGAUUCGUCGCCGCUCGAGCUGCUGAGUAUAUCAGUGGAGACAGGCAAGGCACGAGCGUUAGCCCCGGUGUCGCACCGCUGCAGCACAAAUGAUACUGCGUCCUCCUCCAUGGACGUUUCUAUUGUGGUAGGAGGCACGCCGUUCGCCUUGUCGGCGCGUAACGUUCUCAUCGCCGUCGGCUGGAGCGCCGUGCCUAGACUUUAUUAUUUUGACCCUUCGGAGCUCCAAUUCUCUUGCCUUGCGUAUAAUAUCGUGUUCAGUGGAGAUAGGGGGAACGGGACCUGCACGGAGGGCUGCUGCGAGUUCGCCCCUGCGCGGGUCGCCAGGGUAUUGCAAUUGGAUGUCGAUUUUGGUUAUGCCGCUAACGCGAUGUGGCCAAUCCUCCCGUGCGCCUACGGCAUGUUGGUGGAGAAGUCAUGGUACAAGUACUAUACGGCGGACAUGUACAACUACACUCUACUCAACAGAACCACCAUGGGCGUCCCACUCGCGCUUGAUUUCGCCGCCGGUGAGGCUGCGUGUCCGGCAAAAGGACAGCCGCCGCCUCCGGACUAUGCCUGCGUCAGCGGCAACAGUUCUUGUGCCAACGCAACCUUUACUCCUGGAUAUAUCUGCAAGUGCUGGGACCAUUACGCUGGCAACCCUUACGUCCCUGACGGCUGCCAAGACAUUGAUGAAUGCAAGCGACCCCAAGUGUAUCCCUGCUCAAGUGGCGCAGUCUGUAGAAACAGGCUGGGAGGCUACGACUGUCCAUGCAAAUUCGGAUUGAAAGGAGAUGGCAAAGCAGGAACCUGCACACAUAUAUUCAGUCCAGCAGCAAAGGCGACCGUAGGCCUUGCUGCCUUAGUUGUUGUAAUUGUCCUCAUGGUUCUGGCACAUCAACUCCUCAAACUCAGAAAAUUCUAUAAACAAAAUGGUGGUCCAAUACUAGAAGGUGUCAAGAAUAUAAGGAUCUAUACAAGCAAACAACUUAAGAAGAUGACAAAUAACUACAAGGUUGUUAUUGGAGAGGGCCAUUUUGGUAAGGUUUAUAUGGGGACUCUAAAAGACACACAACAUGUGGCUAUAAAGAAGACCAUCAAAGUUAAUGAAGCUAGCAAAAAGGACUUCAUUGCUGAGAUUAUAAUCCAAUCUGGAAUGAGGCACAAGAACAUUGCCAGGCUCUUAGGUUGUUGCUUAGAGAUGGAUGUUCCAAUGCUGAUGUAUGAGUAUGUAGUGAAAGGGAGUCUGUAUGAUGUUCUGUUCAAAAGCAAAGACAACAUUCUAGUGGAUACACGCCUCAGGAUUGCCAUUGGUUCCGCCGAAGGCUUGGCAUACAUGCAUUCAGCAGUGGAGAGUACCAUUCGUCACGGUGAUGUUAAAUCUGCUAAUAUACUUCUUGAUGCAAGCUUCACCCCAAAAAUUUCAGACUUUGGGACCUCAAAGCUGCUUGCAAGAGGAAAUUCCAUGCAGACUGAAUGGGUCACUGGAGACAAGGCUUACAUAGAUCCAACAUACAUGGUCCAUGGGAUAGUUACACAGAAGAGUGAUGUAUACAACUUUGGAAUUGUUCUCAUAGAGAUUAUCACAAGGAGGGUUGCAAUAUAUGAUGACAAUAUGAGUUAUGCAAAAAACUUUGUUCUAGCUUGUCAAGAUCAAAGAGUAAGGAACUUUGUUGAUAAUGAUAUUACAAGCGAAAAUGAUAUGGAGAUCCUGGAAAUGGUUAGCAAAGUCGCUCUGGAGUGUCUUAAACUUAAUCCUGAGGAACGCCUAGAUAUGACGCAAGUAGAAAGUCGUCUCCGUAAUAUUGGGCAAUCUGAAUAA